Non-coding RNA from Pteropus vampyrus (large flying fox), 84 nucleotides. Lineage: Eukaryota; Metazoa; Chordata; Mammalia; Chiroptera; Pteropodidae. The record is from Rfam.
AAAUCAAAGUCCAACCCCAGCAUUAGCCACGGGGUAAGUGUUCCUCUUGAGGAAGGCAGGGAUUCCUCUUCUGCACCUGAUGGC